Non-coding RNA from Coffea arabica (coffee), 662 nucleotides. NCBI's taxonomy places the organism in Eukaryota, Viridiplantae, Streptophyta, Magnoliopsida, Gentianales, Rubiaceae. The record is from RefSeq and is a predicted model, not a curated record.
AACUCUUUAAUCAAAAUCACAGUUUAUCAACGAAAAAAACCCUAAAAUAUUAAAAAACCUCUGUCCUCUCUUCAUCAUCUUCACCGUACUCUUACGGUUGUUUCAGCCUCUGCUUCACUGACGACUCUUCUUCUUCCUCCUUCGGAUUCCUCAAAAUCCAUUUCCCUUUUCCCCCCUCCAACCCAUCGAUGGAAUUCCAACGACUUUUUCAAAAUUGUCACCUGCGCUCCGCCGAAGCAUGGCAUUCACUCCACUGAAGCAAUUGAAACUAGUAUCGGACGUUGGACCCUAACUUCUACCAAGGCUAUGAUUUGAUGUCUUCAAGUUCAAUAGCACAACAGCAUGCAUCAAUAAGUUUUGUCCAAGCGCAAGAACUUGAAAAUAAUGAUGAUUCUGAUCAACAAGUUGUUGAAAAUGGGAAAAUUGAAUGAAGAUGCUUAUGAAGAAAUGGAGGACAAGACUGUGGGAUUGCGCUCAUGGAUUAAUUAGACCUUAUUUGUGUAGUUCUUUUGAUUAUGGUGGAUGAUCAGCUUGGUUAUUCUUGAGCUUGAUAGCUGGAAUUGGAUCUUUUUAUCUCUGAGAUUUUACAUGGUAGGAUUGUAGCUUAAUUCGAAUAACAUACAUUUUGAACUUUAAUAAGAACCAGAAUGCAGCCUUAUUCC